CAGCAGGUGACAUCCCACAAAUUAUCUUUGCCAUCCUGGGUCAAGCACGGAAGACAGCCUUAGGGUACCAAUGGCAGAAAAGUAACCUGAUUUUUGGCAUGACAAAAUACCAUGACUUGAAAAUUACCACCGAUUUUAAGCAUGGUAUCGGGGGACACUGUGUUCGUACCUGGAACGCUGGAAGAACCCACACUGGGACAGAGAAGAAAAUGGAACACAGUAAGUUGCUGAAGCUGCUGCCAAAGAACUACAAUUACAGAAACAAUAAAUUCUUCCUUCACAGAGAUAUACAGUUGUAGACUGGAAAAUGUAAGAUAGCCAGAUGAAUAAACUCACCUUCCACAGUAAGAGUACUAGCAGCGCGAGCAUCAGUAUUCCAGCAAAAAUUGCCACCGCGAUGAUCCACCAAGGUACUCCUGUAUAAAGUGCUACUGGUUUUGCAGGGAAGACAGUAACGCGGACCUGAGUGACAUACAAUAUGCAAAGAAAGAUGGUAAGAGCAUUCCAGAAGCAUCUGAUUUUAAUAGCUGCAAUUUAUACAAGUCUUACCUCUUCCUUAAUACAAUGGCUUCUCUCUCAUUUGCCAAACAUUUUUGGAAGAGAAAGACUCUACUGCUAUCAUUUCAGUAUGGUAGUGAUUUUUUUUCAAUCUGAUUAAAGAUCAAAAUUAUUGGGAAUUUAAAUUCAAAACUCAGUUAAAAAGAUAACCCUUUGACCACUUCUGAGUGAACAAUUUCUUUUUUCCCAGUCUUUGAGAUAAGGUGAAAAUAUCACAGGGUAUGGUUAGCAUUAAUGUUAAGCCUACCUGAGCAGCUUCGUUUGUGAGUUUAACAUUCUUAGCUGCAGCAGGAACACUGACAGAAGCCCGAACAAGAAUAUCCAGGUAGUUCAUUUUGGAGUAUUCCUGUUCCAGAAUAAAGCACAGAUAUUAGACACAGAACAGAAAAGAACUCUGACCUCCCAAACUGGCAGGUUAAGAGUACUUACUUCUAAGAAAGUACUGUUCCACAGUCUGGAGCGCAGCACAAUGGAUGCCUUGCUAUCUAAACCCUUCAGGGGACAUUUUAUGUCCACACAGCGUGCGUUCACAUUGCAAUCCUGCAACAGAAAUAUCUGCGUGUAAAUAAAAACACAUCCUCUCAAAUUUAGUGAAAUACCCACCACAUCCUGCCAACUUCUUGAUUAAAAGUUUGAUUAUAUGCAUACUUAUGUGCAAGAACCAAAAUCUGUUUACACUGACAGCAAUAGGAAAAUGCAGUUAAUAUGCCAUUACCUCUUUAUUUUAAUGUACGUAACUAUGGAGACAUUCUUUUGUAUGUCUCUCAUCUGUAGAUUAUCUAAAUGGUCUACUUUUAAAAGCAUUGAUACUUGGUUUUAGAGAUUAAAAAAACCAAACAAACCUUUUUUUCCCCUCCCUGCCAAAGUCACAAAGAAAAGCCAUCUUGCAAGUGCAUGGGGAGGUGGUAAUUGCCAGAUUAGAGUUGCAAUAUGCUUACCAAGGUCUUGUAUUUUCUUUCUGAGAAUAAAGAAAGUGUCUUGCCAUCUGUAAUCUGUUUCUCUGCAACCUCACGUUUCCUUCUUGAGUUUUGGGAUUCCUAAAAGGGAAGGGAAAAAGAAAAAAAGUAGUAAGAAGCUGCUUAGUCAUUUAUCAGAUGUACCUCUUAAUUCUGACCCAGUACAAGCAGAGAAAUUAGCUCAGUUAGUGGUUUCUUGUUGCAAGAUCAGCAUACAGACAUCAUUACACACCUGUGAACCCCUGUUUACUUAAUUUCUAGAGUCAAGAUGCGGUUUUAAUGGUAAAAAUUAAAACUCCUCCCAAGCAAUCUUAAGGUUGUAUGAAAACAAAAACUGAUGACAUCUUGGGGUUCUAGAAAAAAGAAAUAAUCUUGCUACAGAGGCACAAAGAAGAGCUAACUUAGCUUGAGAAAUUCUUUAUAUCUCAUAUUUUGUAAGAAUGAACAUUUAAUUGCAAACCCUUUAAGAAAGUACAUGGAGUGAAAUAUAUGGGGAAAUGUUUACUGCUGUUUGUUGUUUUCCAUGUAAGAACUUGAUCAGAUCUCAGUAAUGCUGACAAAAUCCAUUAAUCAGUAACUUCAUACUUUAAGAGCAUGAGAUAAAAACACCCCUGGCAAAAACAGUCACAGGGCUUCUAUCCUUCAGCAUGUUAUCCUCAGUAGCUGUUACAGUGUCUCUUAAUAAGCUUAGCUUGUGAGAUGCUUAAGACAAAAUCCUUUCCGAGACAAGCUCUUGUGUCUUACCAUCACAUGCUGCAGUGCUUUCAUAUUGUGCUAAUUAAUCAUCAACAGAGGACAGGGUAACGUACCGCAAGGUGCAGACUGUUGAUUUCACUCUCAGGUUGACAGGAGACUUUCUCCAAAUCUUUGGAAUCUAUGCUCAUUAAAUAAAGAAGCCAUUUGCCAUUACUAAUCUCUUUUGGCCACUGGAUGUCCAGCGAAGCAGUACCAAAUGUUUUCAGUGGUCUGCCCAGGUUAGUUACCUGUUAAAAUAAACAUUCUUUAAACUGUGAAAUACCAUAUAAAGGAAUUUUCUUCUUGAUCAGAAGUGUUAUUUAAGCAUGCAGCUAACAGGAAAUUUAAGAGCAGAUGAAAGACAGUGGAAACAGUAUAAAGAUAAAGCAUGUACCAAAACUAGCACACUUGGAUAGCAAGUACAUAGAGUUAAAAGAUACAAGGAUUAAAAUUCCCUGAUCUUUAGGCUGUUUACUCUUAGAAAUUUAUCUUCAUGUGAAACAACAAGAACUCUAGUUUGGCGAAAUUGUUCCAUUACAGAACAGGCCAAUUGCAAGUUAAUGAGGAAUUCUGACACAGGAUAACCAGUUCUUGCUCCAUAAUUCUGGAAGUUGUUUGCUCAGCUUAAUUUUCACUCUCUUAGUGUUACUGUUCAUAAUGUCAUAAUACCUGUGUGUAGGUAGAGGAAAGUGAAGAAUUGACAGAAAUUAUUUUCAGUCUAAACAAACUACUAUGUACAAAGACAGCAGAGCUUGCAGUAAUGGUGUAGAAAAAGCAGCUCUCUUGUUGAUAAAAGUUUUUACAGAAUCAAAAUACUCUCUCCUAGCCAUGUCCUUGCUUACUUAUUAGGCAGAAGACCAAAAGAGUGAAAUAGAUCCAUGCAUUCACAGUAGCCCCCACAGUGUCUACUUGUGCCUGCUCAAUCCUGCAUGCAGUGAAUACAUGUGCUUGCUGUCUGUAUGCACCAGCUAACACCUGGGCGCACCACAGUUAGGGCACUGGAAUUGUUUCCCACCUGCAACAGGGUUUGAUGCCUGCACAACUGCAGGUGAAUGAACUGCUGAAAACAACCAAACACAGCCAGCUUCAGGCCACUUCAACAAAAUGUACUGAUAAAACAUCUAAGCCCAAAAGAACUGUCUUCUGCAGUCAGAUUGUGUGAUGUUCUGAUCAGGAAGUCAGGAUUUUGGGACAACAAAAGCUAAUUUUAAAUCCAGCAACUUUUCCAAGUGUUUAUAUGCAUAAGGAGAGAAGCUGUUUCUUUGAUUAAAAGCAGCCAGUGGCAUAAAUGUAAAUUACUCACUCUGAAUUCAUACUCUAUGAGGUUUCCAAUAUUGUCUUCAGAUUUCAUAGCACUCUCACCAACGAUCUUGCCUCCAAAAUACACCUGAGAUGGCUUAGCAACUCUGUUCAGGUGGGGGUGGAGAGAAGAAGAAUGAGAUUUUUAAUGAAGUCUGCAGUGAAACUGUCAUCCCCAGCCCCCCACUUGUUAUGCUAUCAACACUUACCCGGUGAGUGAUAAAAGCAAUUCAAGAACCACUUUAGCACUAGCUGUAAUUGGAGUUGAAUUAACUUGAGUGCUUGUCCUACAAUGGAAAUGAAACGAUGCUGGCUUUAGCAGUUUUCAUCUUAGCAUUAAAUCGCUUGUGAAUGGAACAAAUUAGUUUCAAAAUGUUUACAGCUGCCUAUAAAAACAGAGUGUAUGCACACACAGAAAACUUACGUUUCCAACUUCAGAGUAACGUCCAAGUCUGUUGUAUCAACAUUAACUUUAGUGGUACUUAAGAUGAGAUAAAAGGUUACCUAGACAAAGAAGAGUAUGUAAGCAUUUAAUAAGAACUGUAUUAAUAGAAACAGUAUUAUAGAAAUAACACUGUCAUGUUCUAGUACUAAGAAGACAGACCUAAAUCGAAUUUCCAAUUAUGACACACAAAAUUAGGACCACUGCACUCAGGAAUCAGAUUUUACAAACCUGAGGUGCAACUUACAUUGGAAUUUCUUUUAAAAGGAUUUCCAAGUUCACACUCCGCUUGAGAACCAUUUUGGUUAGCGCUACACGUUAGCUGUUUCUCCUGAUAAAACAAAAUACAUUUAAAAGUGAAAAUGUGCUGAAAAAAAAAUUUAAUUGACUAUUUUUUCUCUUAAAAAUACUUACAGGAUAACCCUUCAUCUCCCUGAAUGCAGAAUAUGUCAAACUGUCUGGAAAAGUGGCAAUGAGUUUAGCUUCAUAUGCAUCUUCACCGUCUUUUUGUGGAUUUUUAGUAUCAGAUGGAUUGUUUGUCACUGUUAUCUCCAGGGCAAUAUCUUUCUGAUCUUUCAGAACCAGCACUGGCAUGCCAUUUUCACUACAGAAACAGUGCACAGAGAAGGUGUGUGCAUUAGCAAAACAAAUGUGCAUAGAAGUUUGCUGCUUCUUAUGGUUUACCCACAUCUAGUUCCCUCUAUUAGAUAAGAAUCUCUGGAAGAUAAUGAACACCUCAGUGGUCAUAGGCUUUUUUUUUCCUAGACCAGUACUUCAUCUGAGAUACUCCUCAGGGCAUCAAGAGUUUACAGUAUUUCUGAAGCAGUGCUUGUAUCUGGCUGUGUUUCACAGUGAUUAGUUUUUCACUGACUGUCUCUAUUGUAAAGCAGAGAUUUGGCUUUAGCUUCCGAGUCAAGCUGUGGCACUUGCCAAAGGUGGCUGGUGACGAUUGGUGCUAUUACACAGGACUCUCUGUUGGCCAGACUAACAACAAAGCUGCUGUCUCCUAGAACCCCUCCUAAAUGUUCUUUCAAGCACUUAAUAAUAAUUUGGACUUAUCAAUGAGUCAAUCAAAGCUUACAUGGGCAGUGUGCCGGACUCCAGGCCAGCGAUUUUAACACUGACUGAUACUGGGAUGGGGCGCAGCUUAUCUUUAAUUUUUUCUGGCUGAAAUAUUUCAAGUGGCAUAGUUAGUGUGCAGUGCAGAGAAGGAAAGCCAACAUAAAACUAGCAUUUGGUGCACCAUUAGAGCAAGUAGUAAAGCAAAAUAUUUUCUACCACAUUUUGCAGCAUUAGAACUAUUCACUAUACAGAAGUAAGAACAUAAGGAGCACAGCCCUACUGUCUGUUUUUCUUUCUGGCUCCCCAGUCUGAUGAUUUCUGUCACUGUUAGGAAUUCUUAGGAAGAACAACAGAUGGUAACUAAGGCAAGUGAAAUGCACACUACAACAGCACAGUAAGUCCCUAUUGCAUUAAGUUCAAGCUUUUCAAUUUGCUGUAGUCCAGAGCAACCUUGGAGGCUGACUCACUGCUGCUGAGCAACAGACAGAAUUUGUUCAGCUCCUGGAGCACUGCCACCUUGGAGUGCCAGUUUAACAGCCAAGUCAGAGAGCACAUAGACCAAGCUUUCUUGUCCUGCCCUUCUGAAACAUGUGGGUUGUAGUUCUUUUCCUAGCCAGUCACACCAUUAAAUUCUGUAACAAUUACUUCUGUUCAAAACAGCUCUGCAUUUUCAGUAUUUAUUCUAGAUCAGUUCAGCUCUACUGACUGCAAGAGCAUGCUGUAGUGGCUGCAGUCUGUAAGAAACGCAACAGGAGGCAGCAUCAGGCAUGCAGGGAAUAAUGAGGUACUACUGAACUAUGGCUGGUUUGGAAUUUUGAAGCUUUAUAUUACAUGUGACAUAGAUCUUAUACAAUGAGGCUGAGAAAAAGAAAAUGCUUUUAACGGGAUCUAAACUAAAUAAAAAUAUUCUUUCUUACCUGCAGUACAAGCUUGGUUGUCACACACUCUUUUGAGUUCUGUCCCCUUAGGGUUGUACUUGCAGUGAACUGAUCAGACAGGUGGUCUCUAAACUGCACCCUGGAUGGCAGGCCUAACUGCCUCCUCUCAUUUUCUGCUUCAAAGGUAUAGUUGAUCUCUGUAUGAAGAAGUAAAGUAGGUCACUAUUAAAAAGAACUCUUGUUUUAUUAAAAAGAACUUUCUUUUCUCCAUGCAUGACCUUACAAUGUUGUUCUAGAAGACUGCUUCAGGCAGUGCUGGGCAUCACAAACUGCUUCCGGUUCUUUCCAAAACUUUCUCUACCUGCCAGUUUUGGCCCUCUCCAGUUCAGGGCCAGCCACACUGUGCAUUCAUCUGAAGCAAACUUCGAAACCAGAUCUUUUUAUUCCCAAAAGUACCCCAUGACUUUUCCAGCAUCCAGAGCUGGCUGGAGGGGCUGUUAAUUGCUGCUGUGCAGCCAGCAGAAAGCUGAGACAGGACUCUGUAGAACACUCCUGGCUGAGCUGCCCUUGAUUUCUGUCACAAGGGCACCUAAGCAGCCAUCAAAACUUUGAGGUCAAGGUAUGCUGUUAAUUUUAACACUGAAAGCAAGAGUAUGACCAAAGCUUUUCAGUUGUAUGCUGAAGCAUGUUUUGCUAGACCUAAACUGUGCAAUAUUUUAAUUAUCUCUGUAUUCACCAAGCUAAUUCAAUGUUGCAGCAAGCCUGCCAGUCCUCAGGAGCAUACAGUGGAACACAUGUGAGUCACCUCCUGAAUGCCUAAAGCACCUGACCUGUUGAAGGACCAGGACCUUACUCAGACACUUCCUAUGGAUUUUACAGCUCUUUCAGGUACCUCGGCAGAGUAUCAUCUUACACUUAAACCAGCCCAAAAACGUGGAGGGAGAUGCGAGUCGUUCUAAUGCGUUACAGGAUCCACCAAUGCUUCCAUUUCAUAGCAGUGCAGCAGGCUGGGAUCACAAGUUUUAAGAAACCUGAAGAAGUUUAGCAUAUAUACUUAAUCCUACCUAAGUAAC
This is a long non-coding RNA of Pogoniulus pusillus (Red-fronted tinkerbird), 7003 nucleotides long. RefSeq lists it as uncharacterized. The transcript is spliced from 7 exons. Lineage: Eukaryota; Metazoa; Chordata; Aves; Piciformes; Lybiidae. The record is from RefSeq and is a predicted model, not a curated record.